ACGUAGGUGGCAAGCGUUGUCCGGAUUUAUUGGGCGUAAAGCGAGCGCAGGCGGAAUGAUAAGUCUGAUGUGAAAGCCCACGGCUCAACCGUGGAACUGCAUCGGAAACUGUCAUUCUUGAGUGCAGAAGAGGAGAGUGGAAUUCCAUGUGUAGCGGUGGAAUGCGUAGAUAUAUGGAAGAACACCAGUGGCGAAGGCGGCUCUCUGGUCUGCAACUGACGCUGAGGCUCGAAAGCAUGGGUAGCGAACAG
RNAcentral lists this ribosomal RNA (251 nucleotides) under uncultured bacterium. RNAcentral describes it as "partial 16S ribosomal RNA". It matches the Rfam family "Bacterial small subunit ribosomal RNA", at positions 525 to 775 of the family's 1533-position model. The record is from RNAcentral.